Molecule: long non-coding RNA, 317 nt
Filed under: Olea europaea (common olive)
Lineage: Eukaryota; Viridiplantae; Streptophyta; Magnoliopsida; Lamiales; Oleaceae
Description: long non-coding RNA (OEUR_LNC002491)
Source: RNAcentral
GUCGAUGCUCGAAUGAAUUUCCCAAAUAUUCUUUUGAUCAAUGGAGCUAAUCCCACUUUCUAAUCCCUUUUCUAAUAACUAAUUCAUCAACAAAACCUUCUUCCCAAGUUAAAACUAAUUUUACUUUCCAAUUUAAUGAAACUAGUGACCAUAAUUUCCACCCAUCUAAUAUACAUUUGCUCCAUAAAAUCAACUCCCAAGUGAAAUAUUCCAUUUAUAUUAUCACUUCCACAAUUAAUUAAUUAAAAUCCCCAAAAUCGGAUUCUAGGGUUUCCAAAAAUUUCAUUGCCUAAACACCUUGUUAAAACUGAAANNNN